UACGUAGGGUGCGAGCGUUAAUCGGAAUUACUGGGCGUAAAGUGUGCGCAGGCCGCCGAGCAAGUCGAGUGUGAAAGCCCCGAGCUUAACUUGGGAACUGCGCUCGAAACUACUUGGCUAGAGUGUGGCAGAGGGAGGUGGAAUUCCACGUGUAGCGGUGAAAUGCGUAGAGAUGUGGAGGAACACCGAUGGCGAAGGCAGCCUCCUGGGCCAACACUGACGCUCAUGCACGAAAGCGUGAGGAGCAAACAGG
Molecule: ribosomal RNA, 253 nt
Filed under: uncultured bacterium
Lineage: Bacteria
Description: partial 16S ribosomal RNA
Rfam family: Bacterial small subunit ribosomal RNA
Source: RNAcentral